Molecule: long non-coding RNA, 219 nt
Filed under: Gallus gallus (chicken)
Lineage: Eukaryota; Metazoa; Chordata; Aves; Galliformes; Phasianidae
Source: RNAcentral
CUCGUGAUCUGUGAGGCUGCUGGCAUGUGACUCCAGCUUCGGCUCUGGUGAGCUGCCUUCCUGAGCCGGUUUGUUCACGUUGUUGGUUGACAGCUUCUUUUUGGUAUUUUUUUUCUUCUUGCCUUUUUGUUCCUCCUGCUGUGACAACUUGGCGGCUGCAGCGGCGAGGCCGGUUUCGAUGGAGGCGACCCUCGUUCCCUCUCGCACCGGUCUGUCUUG